This 253-nucleotide ribosomal RNA is filed under the name uncultured bacterium. RNAcentral describes it as "partial 16S ribosomal RNA". It matches the Rfam family "Bacterial small subunit ribosomal RNA", at positions 524 to 776 of the family's 1533-position model. The record is from RNAcentral.
UACAGAGGAUUCAAGCGUUGUUCGGAUUCAUUGGGCGUAAAGGGUGCGUAGGUGGUGAUGCAAGUCUGGUGUGAAAUCUCGGAGCUCAACUCCGAAAUUGCACCGGAUACUGCGUGACUCGAGGACUGUAGAGGAGAUCGGAAUUCACGGUGUAGCAGUGAAAUGCGUAGAUAUCGUGAGGAAGACCAGUUGCGAAGGCGGAUCUCUGGGCAGUUACUGACACUGAGGCACGAAGGCCAGGGGAGCAAACGGG